GACGAACGCUGGCGGCGUGCCUAAUACAUGCAAGUUGAGCGCUGAAGGUUGGUACUUGUACCAACUGGAUGAGCAGCGAACGGGUGAGUAACGCGUGGGGAAUCUGCCUUUGAGCGGGGGACAACAUUUGGAAACGAAUGCUAAUACCGCAUAAAAACUUUAAACACAAGUUUUAAGUUUGAAAGAUGCAAUUGCAUCACUCAAAGAUGAUCCCGCGUUGUAUUAGCUAGUUGGUGAGGUAAAGGCUCACCAAGGCGAUGAUACAUAGCCGACCUGAGAGGGUGAUCGGCCACAUUGGGACUUAGACACGGCCCAAACUCCUACGGGAGGCAGCAGUAGGGAAUCUUCGGCAAUGGACGAAAGUCUGACCGAGCAACGCCGCGUGAGUGAAGAAGGUUUUCGGAUCGUAAAACUCUGUUGGUAGGGAAGAACGUUGGUGAGAGUGGAAAGCUCAUCAAGUGACGGUAACUACCCAGAAAGGGACGGCUAACUACGUG
This 497-nucleotide ribosomal RNA is filed under the name uncultured bacterium. RNAcentral's name for it is "partial 16S ribosomal RNA". It matches the Rfam family "Bacterial small subunit ribosomal RNA", at positions 28 to 507 of the family's 1533-position model. The record is from RNAcentral.